AAAGAACGCUGGCGGCAUGCUUAACACAUGCAAGUCGAACGGAUAGUAGCAAUACUAUUAGUGGCAAACGGGUGAGUAAUACGUAGGAAUCUACCCUGUAGUACGGAACAACAGUUGGAAACGACUGCUAAUACCGCAUACGCUCCUUCGGGAGGAAAGAUUUAUCGCUAUAGGAUGAGCCUGCGCUAAAUUAGAUAGUUGGUGGGGUAAUGGCCUACCAAGUCAAUGAUUUAUAGCUGGUCUGAGAGGACGACCAGCCACACUGGAACUUAGACACGGUCCAGACUCCUACGGGAGGCAGCAGUGAGGAAUAUUGGACAAUGGGCGCAAGCCUGAUCCAGCAAUGUCGCGUGAAUGAUGAAGGCCUUCGGGUUGUAAAGUUCUUUCGGUGGGGAAGAAAAUGACGGUACCCACAGAAGAAGCUCCGGCUAACUUCGUGC
RNAcentral lists this ribosomal RNA (440 nucleotides) under uncultured bacterium. Its description in RNAcentral is "bacterial SSU rRNA". It matches the Rfam family "Bacterial small subunit ribosomal RNA", at positions 31 to 508 of the family's 1533-position model. The record is from RNAcentral.